AUCAGAUUCGACAAUCACACUCAACUUCUGCCCGAACGAGCAGUGGGGUACGACAGCACAGAUAAAGUAUUUGGAGCCAGCAGUACCAAGAGAGAUUGUCACAGGGCUCAAUUCAUGAAGUGGUGUUUCUCCCUCGGAAGCUACAACGAGAGAGGUGGAAGACGAAGACGAAAAAGACAUUGACAUUGGAGAAGGAUUUAAAAAGCUUAUUACCAAGUUUGUCACCAACAAUGAAGGUCUUAUUGGCAGCCCACCUGGUGUAAAACGAUGGGUCGUCCUUCGGAAAUCUCCAGCCUUGAUCAUCUCCCACCUUAUGGAUGGUUGAAGCAGUUGCAGUUGUAGCCAUGACAGCCAAUGCUAAAGCAAUCAUACACCAAACAAAACUCAUUGUGCUGCCCAUUUUUCUUCUGGCUUUCCUUCCUAAUUCUCUCUUGAGACUUUUUGCUAUUUAUGCAUGGCAUGCAUUUAUAUGAAGUUAAGCUGAAAACAAAAUCAUAAGUAUUUUUAGUAAAGGAAAUAAUUAAAGAACUUGGAUAACUAUGUAUGCAUCUUCAUAUAAUAGGAAGUUGCUCAAAACCACCCAUUUUUUGGGGUUUAAUGUUGGACAUAUCUGUUUAUUGUUA
This is a non-coding RNA of Benincasa hispida (wax gourd), 623 nucleotides long. The record is from RefSeq and is a predicted model, not a curated record. NCBI's taxonomy places the organism in Eukaryota, Viridiplantae, Streptophyta, Magnoliopsida, Cucurbitales, Cucurbitaceae.